Molecule: non-coding RNA, 69 nt
Organism: Podarcis lilfordi (Lilford's wall lizard)
Lineage: Eukaryota; Metazoa; Chordata; Lepidosauria; Squamata; Lacertidae
Source: the annotation of a GenBank genome assembly
GGAUGGCUCAGUUGGUAGAGCAUGAAACUCUUAAUCUCAGGGUUGUGGGUUCGAGACCCACUGGCAAAA